GAGGAAGUUGCAAGAACUUUGAAGAGAGAGUUCAAGAGUACGUGAAACUGCUCUGAGGAAAAACGGGGGGGUCUUCAAGAUCUUAAUGGCGGGGGAGUUCAUUCGAAAAUCCGAUGGAGCGAUCGUUGUGACCGAACCCUACAAAAGGCCGUGUUCUUACACGCCUUUUCGCGGGUGUUAGACACUUUUCUUCCCGCUCUCGAGACCCCACACCAUAUCGGGUAACAGCGAGAGUCCAUUAUGGGGCGGCACGGUGCGUGAGAUCGGUAUUCAGAUCUUGAGCUCGAUUCCUGGUUUUUACCGGGACCGUUCGUGGUGCAACACCCAAUCAAGGUCAAAGUUCCUCUUGCUGGGAACUGACCGUCUCUUUCCCUCGUGGGCGUGGAGCUCGGGUCAACAUGCACCGACGAAACGAAUCCGUUCCAAGAAACGGAUCGUCUGUCGGAGAGCCAGUGCUCGAUUCGAAGCGACCGCAGGGGGAUGAAUCUUACCGUUUGCGGCGAAAAAGUCGGUCACCCACCCCAACCCUCUUGAAACACGGACCAAGGAAUCUAACAUGUGCGCCAAUCCCAAGGUCUUGAACAGGGCCUAAGGCGCAAUGAAAGUGAAAGGUCUCUUGCAGGACCGAGUUGGGACUCUCGUUUCCUCUCGGAGGCGGGAAGCACCAACGACCCGUUCCGAUCGACUCGUCGGUGGGACGGAGUAAGAGCGUACACGUUGGGACCCGAAAGAUGGUGAACUAUGCCUGGGCAAAACGAACCAAAGGAACUCUGGUGGAGGUUCGCAGCGGUUCUGACUGCAAUCGAUCGUCAACCUGGAGGGGGAAAAAAAAAAAAAUAAAAAAAAGGUGCGUCCG
This 856-nucleotide ribosomal RNA is filed under the name Psilochorus sp. BB-2004. RNAcentral's name for it is "partial 28S ribosomal RNA". It matches the Rfam family "Eukaryotic large subunit ribosomal RNA", at positions 357 to 963 of the family's 3401-position model. Lineage: Eukaryota; Metazoa; Arthropoda; Arachnida; Araneae; Pholcidae. The record is from RNAcentral.